CUUUGCACCUCCUUUUUGACCAUGGGUUUCCUUAUAGAUAAAAUUUGAAUUUGAACCUGAUUAAAAUGGGAUUUGAAUCAGGUGUGGCAUGUGAGAGACCUGAUUUUUAUGUGACAAAAAUCAAGAAUGAAAAGAGGGCAUGCACUAGUAUCAUGGUAGGCUUUCUUUGUUGCGAUGAUAACCUCUUCUCAAUGCCUCCUUACUUUCUUCCUUCAAUCCAAAACCCAAAAUUUGAUAUGAUCAGAUCUAAGGAAAGAAAAAUAGAGAGAGAG
Molecule: long non-coding RNA, 272 nt
Filed under: Elaeis guineensis (African oil palm)
Lineage: Eukaryota; Viridiplantae; Streptophyta; Magnoliopsida; Arecales; Arecaceae
Description: long non-coding RNA (EGUI_LNC062854)
Source: RNAcentral